Molecule: unclassified non-coding RNA, 148 nt
Organism: Papio anubis (olive baboon)
Lineage: Eukaryota; Metazoa; Chordata; Mammalia; Primates; Cercopithecidae
Rfam family: Metazoan signal recognition particle RNA
About the family: The signal recognition particle (SRP) is a universally conserved ribonucleoprotein. It is involved in the co-translational targeting of proteins to membranes.
Source: Ensembl
GCCAGGCGUGGUGACGCCCGCCUGUAAUCCCAGCUACUUGGGAGGCUGAGGCAGGAGAAUCACUUGAACCCGGGAGGCAGAGGUUGCAGUGAGCCGAGAUCGUGCCACUGCAAUCCAGCCUGGGCAACAGAGUGAGACUGUGUCUCAA